UUAAGGAAUUCGGCAAAAUGACCCCGUAACUUCGGGAGAAGGGGUGCCUGCGAGAGCAGGCCGCAGAGAAUAGGCUCAAGCAACUGUUUAGCAAAAACACAGGUCUAUGCGAAACCGAAAGGUGAAGUAUAUGGGCUGACGCCUGCCCGGUGCUGGAAGGUUAAGAGGAGAGGUUAGCGUAAGCGAAGCUUUGAAUUUAAGCCCCAGUAAACGGCGGCCGUAACGAUAACGGUCCUAAGGUAGCGAAAUUCCUUGUCGGGUAAGUUCCGACCCGCACGAAAGGCGUAAUGAUUUGAGCACUGUCUCGACAAUGCAUCCGGUGAAAUUGAAGUACCAGUGAAGAUGCUGGUUACCCGCGCCAGGACGGAAAGACCCCAUGGAGCUUUACUCCAGUUUGAUACUGGGAUUCGGUACUGCAUGUACAGGAUAGGUGGGAGACAAAGAAGGAUGGACGCCAGUCUGUCCGGAGUCGCUGUUGGGAUACCACCCCUGUAGUACUGGGUUUCUAACCAGUUGCCAUGAACUGGCAAUGGGACAAUGUCAGGCGGGGAGUUUGACUGGGGCGGUCGCCUCCGAAAGGGUAUCGGAGGCGCUCAAAGGUUCCCUCAGAAUGGUUGGAAACCAUUUGAAGAGUGCAAAGGCAGAAGGGAGCUUGACUGCGACACCGACGGGUGGAGCAGGUACGAAAGUAGGACUUAGUGAUCCGGUGGUAUAAAGUGGGAUUGCCAUCGCUCAACGGAUAAAAGCUACCCUGGGGAUAACAGGCUUAUCACUCCCAAGAGUUCACAUCGACGGAGUGGUUUGGCACCUCGAUGUCGGCUCAUCGCAUCCUGGGGCUGUAGCAGGUCCCAAGGAUUGGGCUGUUCGCCCAUUAAAGCGGUACGCGAGCUGGGUUCAGAACGUCGUGAGACAGUUCGAUCCCUAUCCGGCGCGGGCGGAGGAUAUUUGAGAGGAGCUGUCCUUAGUACGAGAGGACCGGGAUGGACGGACCACUGGUGUAUCUGUUGUCGACCAACGGCAUGGCAGAGUAGCCAAGUCUGGAAGGGAUAAACGCUGAAGGCAUCUAAGCGUGAAGCCCCCCUCAAGAUGAGAUAUCCCUCCUUCGGGAGUAAGACCCCUUGAAGACUACAAGGUAGAUAGGGCAGAGGUGGAAGCAUGGCAACAUGUGGAGCUGACUGUUACUAAUAGGUCGAGGGCUUAAUGA
RNAcentral lists this ribosomal RNA (1204 nucleotides) under metagenome. RNAcentral describes it as "bacterial LSU rRNA". It matches the Rfam family "Bacterial large subunit ribosomal RNA", at positions 1705 to 2925 of the family's 2925-position model. The record is from RNAcentral.